CAGUAGCCGCGGGAAUACGUAGGGUGCAAGCGUUAAUCGGAAUUACUGGGCGUAAAGCGUGCGCAGGCGGUUUGUUAAGACAGAUGUGAAAUCCCCAGGCUCAACCUGGGAACUGCAUUUGUGACUGGCAGGCUAGAGUAUGGCAGAGGGGGGUGGAAUUCCGCGUGUAGCAGUGAAAUGCGUAGAUAUGCGGAGGAACACCGAUGGCGAAGGCAGCCCCCUGGGCCAAUACUGACGCUCACGCACGAAAGCGUGGGGAGCAAACAGGAUUAGAUACCCCAGUAGUCCCUGUCUCUUAUAC
RNAcentral lists this ribosomal RNA (301 nucleotides) under uncultured bacterium. RNAcentral describes it as "partial 16S ribosomal RNA". It matches the Rfam family "Bacterial small subunit ribosomal RNA", at positions 509 to 807 of the family's 1533-position model. The record is from RNAcentral.